RNAcentral lists this non-coding RNA (23 nucleotides) under Cricetulus griseus (Chinese hamster). Lineage: Eukaryota; Metazoa; Chordata; Mammalia; Rodentia; Cricetidae. The record is from RNAcentral.
AGAAGGAGAGAGAAUUCACAGAA